Molecule: ribosomal RNA, 1052 nt
Filed under: uncultured bacterium
Lineage: Bacteria
Description: bacterial SSU rRNA
Rfam family: Bacterial small subunit ribosomal RNA
Source: RNAcentral
UACGGGUGGCAGCAGUCGAGAAUCAUUUCACAAUGGGGGGAAACCCUGAAUGGGUGCGACGCCGCGUGGGGGAAUGAAGGUCUUCGGAUUGUAAACCCCUGUCAUGUGGGAGCAAAUUAAAAAGAUAGUACCACAAGAGGAAGAGACGGCUAACUCUGUGCCAGCAGCCGCGGUAAUACAGAGGUCUCAAGCGUUGUUCGGAAUCACUGGGCGUAAAGCGUGCGUAGGCGGUUUCGUAAGUCGUGUGUGAAAGGCGGGGGCUCAACCCCCGGACUGCACAUGAUACUGCGAGACUAGAGUAAUGGAGGGGGAACCGGAAUUCUCGGUGUAGCAGUGAAAUGCGUAGAUAUCGAGAGGAACACUCGUGGCGAAGGCGGGUUCCUGGACAUUAACUGACGCUGAGGCACGAAGGCCAGGGGAGCGAAAGGGAUUAGAUACCCCUGUAGUCCUGGCAGUAAACGGUGCACGCUUGGUGUGCGGGGAAUCGACCCCCUGCGUGCCGGAGCUAACGCGUUAAGCGUGCCGCCUGGGGAGUACGGUCGCAAGAUUAAAACUCAAGGAAAUUGACGGGGACCCGCACAAGCGGUGGAGUAUGUGGCUUAAUUCGAUGCAACGCGAAGAACCUUACCUGGGCUUGACAUGUAAUGAACAACAUGUGAAAGCAUGCGACUCUUCGGAGGCGUUACACAGGUGCUGCAUGGCCGUCGUCAGCUCGUGUCGUGAGAUGUUUGGUUAAGUCCAGCAACGAGCGCAACCCCUGUUGCCAGUUACCAGCACGUAAAGGUGGGGACUCUGGCGAGACUGCCCAGAUCAACUGGGAGGAAGGUGGGGACGACGUCAGGUCAGUAUGGCCCUUAUGCCCAGGGCUGCACACGUACUACAAUGCCCAGUACAGAGGGGGCCGAAGCCGCGAGGCGGAGGAAAUCCUAAAAACUGGGCCCAGUUCGGACUGUAGGCUGCAACCCGCCUACACGAAGCCGGAAUCGCUAGUAAUGGCGCAUCAGCUACGGCGCCGUGAAUACGUUCCCGGGUCUUGCACUCACCGCCCGUCA